CGGAGGGAUCAUUACUGAGUUUACGCUCUACAACCCUUUGUGAACAUACCUAUAACUGUUGCUUCGGCGGGUAGGGUCUCCGUGACCCUCCCGGCCUCCCGCCCCCGGGCGGGUCGGCGCCCGCCGGAGGAUAACCAAACUCUGAUUUAACGACGUUUCUUCUGAGUGGUACAAGCAAAUAAUCAAAACUUUUAACAACGGAUCUCUUGGUUCUGGCAUCGAUGAAGAACGCAGCGAAAUGCGAUAAGUAAUGUGAAUUGCAGAAUUCAGUGAAUCAUCGAAUCUUUGAACGCACAUUGCGCCCGCCAGCAUUCUGGCGGGCAUGCCUGUUCGAGCGUCAUUUCAACCCUCAAGCUCUGCUUGGUGUUGGGGCCCUACAGCUGAUGUAGGCCCUCAAAGGUAGUGGCGGACCCUCCCGGAGCCUCCUUUGCGUAGUAACUUUACGUCUCGCACUGGGAUCCGGAGGGACUCUUGCCGUAAAACCCCCAAUUUUCCAAAGGUUGACCUCGGAUCAGGUAGGAAUACCCGCUGAACUUAAGCAUAUCAAUAAGCGGAGGAAAAGAAACCAACAGGGAUUGCCUCAGUAACGGCGAGUGAAGCGGCAACAGCUCAAAUUUGAAAUCUGGCCCUAGGCCCGAGUUGUAAUUUGCAGAGGAUGCUUUUUGGUGAGGUGCCUUCCAAGUUCCCUAG
This 690-nucleotide ribosomal RNA is filed under the name fungal endophyte. RNAcentral describes it as "eukaryotic LSU rRNA". The stretch from base 187 to 340 matches the Rfam family "5.8S ribosomal RNA". Lineage: Eukaryota; Fungi. The record is from RNAcentral.